This 975-nucleotide ribosomal RNA is filed under the name uncultured bacterium. RNAcentral describes it as "bacterial SSU rRNA". It matches the Rfam family "Bacterial small subunit ribosomal RNA", at positions 8 to 1023 of the family's 1533-position model. The record is from RNAcentral.
AGAGUUUGAUCCUGGCUCAGAGCGAACGCUGGCGGCAGGCCUAACACAUGCAAGUCGAACGAACUCUUCGGAGUUAGUGGCGGACGGGUGAGUAACACGUGGGAACGUGCCUUUAGGUUCGGAAUAACUCAGGGAAACUUGUGCUAAUACCGAAUGUGCCCUUCGGGGGAAAGAUUUAUCGCCUUUAGAGCGGCCCGCGUCUGAUUAGCUAGUUGGUGAGGUAAAGGCUCACCAAGGCGACGAUCAGUAGCUGGUCUGAGAGGAUGAUCAGCCACAUUGGGACUGAGACACGGCCCAAACUCCUACGGGAGGCAGCAGUGGGGAAUCUUGCGCAAUGGGCGAAAGCCUGACGCAGCCAUGCCGCGUGAAUGAUGAAGGUCUUAGGAUUGUAAAAUUCUUUCACCGGGGACGAUAAUGACGGUACCCGGAGAAGAAGCCCCGGCUAACUUCGUGCCAGCAGCCGCGGUAAUACGAAGGGGGCUAGCGUUGCUCGGAAUUACUGGGCGUAAAGGGAGCGUAGGCGGACAUUUAAGUCAGGGGUGAAAUCCCGGGGCUCAACCUCGGAAUUGCCUUUGAUACUGGGUGUCUUGAGUAUGAGAGAGGUGUGUGGAACUCCGAGUGUAGAGGUGAAAUUCGUAGAUAUUCGGAAGAACACCAGUGGCGAAGGCGACACACUGGCUCAUUACUGACGCUGAGGCUCGAAAGCGUGGGGAGCAAACAGGAUUAGAUACCCUGGUAGUCCACGCCGUAAACGAUGAUUGCUAGUUGUCGGGAUGCAUGCAUUUCGGUGACGCAGCUAACGCAUUAAGCAAUCCGCCUGGGGAGUACGGUCGCAAGAUUAAAAACUCAAAGGAAAUUGACGGGGGCCCGCACAAGCGGUGGAGCAUGUGGUUUAAUUCGAAGCAACGCGCAAAACCCUUACCACCUUUUGACAUUGCCUGGACCCGCCCAGAGAAAAUCUGGCCUUUCCUUUCG